GAGUUUGAUCCUGGCUCAGGAUGAACGCUAGCGGAACGCCUAACACAUGCAAGUCGAACGGAUUCUGCGUUGUAGCAAUACAUAGUAGAAUUAGUGGCAAACGAGCGAGUAACGCGUGCCUAACCUGCCCUUAAGAUGGGAACAACUACGGAGACGUAGCUAAAUCCCAAUAUGCUCACGAUGGUGAAAUGCCGAUGCGAGGAAAGAUUUAUCGCCUAAGGAGGGGGGCGCGUCCUAUCAGGUAGUUGGUUGAGGUAACGGCUCACCAAGCCUAUGACAGGUAGCUGGUCUGAGAUGAUGUCCAGCCGCGAUGGGACUGAGAUACGGCCCAUACUCCUACGGGAGGCAGCAGUGGGGAAUCUUGCACAAUGGACGAAAGUCUGAUGCAGCGAUCCCGCGUGAAGGAUGAAGCAUUACGGUGUGUAAACUUCUUUUUUGGUGGAAGACGAAUGACGGUACACCAAGAAUAAGAGACGGCUAACUACGUGCCAGCAGCCGCGGUAAUACGUAGGUCUCAAGCGUUAUCCGGAUUUACUGGGCGUAAAGUAUCCGUAGCCUGAUAUGUAAGUCUGUUUUCAAAUCCCACGACUCAAUCGUGGAAAGGGAAUGGAUACUGCAUAUCUAGAAGUUAUUGGGGGUUAGCGGAAUUUCCGGUGGAGCGGUGAAAUGCGUUGAUAUCGGAAAGAACGCCGAAAGCGAAAGCAGCUAACUAUGAUUAACUUGACGGUGAGGGAUGAAAGUUUGGGUAGCAAACGGGAUUAGAUACCCCGGUAGUCCAAACUGUAAAUUAUGCUUGCUAGGUGUUUCGAUCCUUGUGGUCGGAGUGCCGUAAUCUAACGAGUUAAGCAAGUCGCCUGGGUAGUAUAUUCGUGUAGUAUGACGAUCGACCAGAUAUGACGGUGGCCG
RNAcentral lists this ribosomal RNA (906 nucleotides) under uncultured candidate division SR1 bacterium. RNAcentral's name for it is "bacterial SSU rRNA". It matches the Rfam family "Bacterial small subunit ribosomal RNA", at positions 9 to 922 of the family's 1533-position model. The record is from RNAcentral. Lineage: Bacteria; Candidatus Absconditibacteriota.